UUGACCUCGGAUCAGUAGGAUACCCGUGAACUUAAG
This 36-nucleotide ribosomal RNA is filed under the name Aspergillus sojae. RNAcentral describes it as "partial 28S ribosomal RNA". The record is from RNAcentral. Lineage: Eukaryota; Fungi; Ascomycota; Eurotiomycetes; Eurotiales; Aspergillaceae.